This 826-nucleotide long non-coding RNA is filed under the name Malus domestica (apple). Its description in RNAcentral is "long non-coding RNA (MDOM_LNC005551)". Lineage: Eukaryota; Viridiplantae; Streptophyta; Magnoliopsida; Rosales; Rosaceae. The record is from RNAcentral.
ACCUGGAAAAUUUUUCUAAUCAUUAAUUUCGAUUUGACAAAAUCAAGAAAAAAAUUCUAAAGCCCAAUUACAUAAAUCACAAAUUUAGAACAUAUUUUAACAUGCAAUAGGCAUAAAGGGUGCGUUUGGUACGCGGGACGGGACGGGACGGAACGGGACGAGGCGUUCCGUCCCGCGUUUGGUGCGCCAAAAAUGGGUGGAACGGGCUGUUCCACGGGACAGAUUUUGGGUGUUUUUGCGUUCCACCUCCCCCCUGGAACGGGUUUGUUCCACGUAUGUGGAACACAAUGUUUUACCAUUUUAAGACAAAUAUACCCCAUGUCUUUUUCAAAAAUUACACCUUCGUUCCGUCCCGUCCCGUCCCGUUCCGUCCCGUCCCGUCUCGUCCCGUCUGCGUACCAAACGCACCCAAAAGGAACCGGAGGUGAUGAGGAAUCGUUUGAUCUUUGGCCCAAAAGCUACAUUAGUUGGGCGGUAAAGGAUCCGAUUCGAGUAGACGCAGAAAUCGUCGAGAAGCUACUAGGCAAACUUCAGAAACCUGAACCAUUUCAGUAUCGAUGCGUAGCAAGUGAGCAGCCCAGAGAAACAAAGCUUCUGAGUUCCCUCGCUCGGAACGAAAUGUCGUCAUACUGGAGAAAAUCCGAGAAGAGGGGAAGAGAAAACUUCACCCAUUUAAGAAGGCCAUGGAUUUGCAACAGAGCGAUCGAGAAAGAAGCUACUGCGAGAGAUUUUGAGAAAUGAAGGAUGGAGGCUAGGGUUUUGUUUCUGAAAGAGGAAAGGCAAAGAAGUUGUGAGAGAUAAAUGAAAAGGAAAAGACAGCGCUAAA